AUUUUGGGGCAAGGAAAUGAGGGGUCAAUGUAGGCAAAUCCGCAUUGUUUAACCUUGAGUUCUGAUGCAUAGGGAAAGUUUCGACAAUUACCGAAUUGAAUGAUUUCACGCUUCCAAGAAAAGCUUCUAAACGUUAUAAAACUAUAGGAACCCGUACCGAGAACGGACACACGUUCCCAAGAUGAGUAUUCUAAGGCGAGCGAGAAAACCAAUGUUAAGGAACUCUGCAAAUUCACCCCGUAAGUUCGCGAGAAGGGGGGCCAUUCUUUGAAUGGCAACAUUAAAUUGUGAGGGGCAACUGUUUAUCAAAAACACAGCUCUCUGCUAAGUCGCAAGACGAUGUAUAGGGGGUGAAGUCUGCCCAGUGCCCGAAGGUUAAGUGGAGCUGUUAGCUUACGCAAAGCAGCAAAAUGAAGCCCGGGUGAACGGCGGCUGUAACGAUAACGGUCCUAAGGUAGCGAAAUUCCUUGUCGGCUAAAUACUGACCUGCACGAAAGACGCAAUGAUCUCUCAACUGUCUCAACAUUGGACUCGGUGAAAUUAUGGUUCCAGUGAAAACGCUGGAUACCCGCAUCAAAACGAAAAGACCCCGUGGAGCUUUACUACAACUUCGUAUUGGAAUUUGGUUUAACAUGUGUAGGAUAGGUGGGAGAUGGAGAAGCGGAGACGCUAGUUUCUGUGGAAUCAACCUUGAAAUACCACCCUUGUUAAAUUGAGUUUCUAACCUAUGACCGUCAUCCGGUCAGGAGACAGUGCGUGGUGGGUAGUUUGACUGGGGCGGUCGCCUCCCAAAAGGUAACGGAGGCGUUCAAAGCUACACUCAAUAUGGUCAGAAACCAUAUGUAGAGCGCAAAGGUAAAAGUGUGGUUGACUGUGAGACCUACAAGUCGAGCAGGUGCGAAAGCAGGACUUAGUGAUCCGGCAGUUCAUUAUGGAAUGGCUGUCGCUCAACGGAUAAAAGCUACCCCGGGGAUAACAGGGUUAUCUUCCCCAAGAGAUCACAUCGACGGGAAGGUUUGCCACCUCGAUGUCGGCUCAUCGCAUCCUGGAGCUGGAGUUGGUUCCAAGGGUUUGGCUGUUCGCCAAUUAAAGCGGUACGCGAGCUGGGUUCAGAACGUCGUGAGACAGUUCGGUCCCUAUUUGAUGUGGGCGUUGGAAUAUUGAUGAGAGCUGCUCUUAGUACGAGAGGACCGGAGUGGACGUACCACUGGUGCUCCAGUUGUUUCGCCAGAAGCAUAGCUGGGUAGCUAAGUACGGAAAGGAUAACCGCUGAAAGCAUCUAAGCGGGAAGCUUCCUCAAAGAUGAGUAUUCCUUAUGAAAUUCCUUGUAGACUACGAGGUUGAUAGGUUGGAAGUGUAAGUGUAGUAAUACAUUCAGCUGACC
This 1384-nucleotide ribosomal RNA is filed under the name Arthrobacter sp. DWC3. RNAcentral describes it as "bacterial LSU rRNA". It matches the Rfam family "Bacterial large subunit ribosomal RNA", at positions 1504 to 2896 of the family's 2925-position model. The record is from RNAcentral. Lineage: Bacteria; Bacillati; Actinomycetota; Actinomycetes; Micrococcales; Micrococcaceae.